RNAcentral lists this ribosomal RNA (393 nucleotides) under uncultured bacterium. RNAcentral's name for it is "partial 16S ribosomal RNA". It matches the Rfam family "Bacterial small subunit ribosomal RNA", at positions 523 to 918 of the family's 1533-position model. The record is from RNAcentral.
AUACGGAGGAUCCGAGCGUUAUCCGGAUUUAUUGGGUUUAAAGGGAGCGUAGGUGGACAGUUAAGUCAGUUGUGAAAGUUUGCGGCUCAACCGUAAAAUUGCAGUUGAUACUGGCUGUCUUGAGUACAGUAGAGGUGGGCGGAAUUCGUGGUGUAGCGGUGAAAUGCUUAGAUAUCACGAAGAACUCCGAUUGCGAAGGCAGCUCACUGGACUGCAACUGACACUGAUGCUCGAAAGUGUGGGUAUCAAACAGGAUUAGAUACCCUGGUAGUCCACACAGUAAACGAUGAAUACUCGCUGUUUGCGAUACACUGUAAGCGGCCAAGCGAAAGCGUUAAGUAUUCCACCUGGGGAGUACGCCGGCAACGGUGAAACUCAAAUGAAUUGACGGGG